UGGGGAAUAUUGCACAAUGGGCGAAAGCCUGAUGCAGCAACGCCGCGUGAGGGAUGAAGGCCUUCGGGUUGUAAACCUCUUUUAGUAGGGAAGAAGCGCAAGUGACGGUACCUGCAGAAAAAGCACCGGCUAACUACGUGCCAGCAGCCGCGGUAAUACGUAGGGUGCAAGCGUUGUCCGGAAUUAUUGGGCGUAAAGAGCUCGUAGGCGGCUUGUCGCGUCUGCUGUGAAAUCCCAAGGCUUAACCUUGGGCCUGCAGUGGGUACGGGCAAGCUAGAGUGCGGUAGGGGAGAUUGGAAUUCCUGGUGUAGCGGUGGAAUGCGCAGAUAUCAGGAGGAACACCGAUGGCGAAGGCAGAUCUCUGGGCCGCUACUGACGCUGAGGAGCGAAAGCAUGGGGAGCGAACA
Molecule: ribosomal RNA, 407 nt
Filed under: uncultured Actinomycetales bacterium
Lineage: Bacteria; Bacillati; Actinomycetota; Actinomycetes; Actinomycetales
Description: bacterial SSU rRNA
Rfam family: Bacterial small subunit ribosomal RNA
Source: RNAcentral